Molecule: ribosomal RNA, 460 nt
Filed under: uncultured bacterium
Lineage: Bacteria
Description: partial 16S ribosomal RNA
Rfam family: Bacterial small subunit ribosomal RNA
Source: RNAcentral
CCUACGGGUGGCAGCAGUGAGGAAUAUUGGACAAUGGGCUUACGCCUGAAGCAGCGAAAUAGCGUGAAGGAAGACUGCCCUAGGGGUGGUAAACGUCGUUUGUCAGGGAGAAAUUGGCGAUACGUGUAGCGUUAUCGAGAGUACCUGAAGAGAAAGCAUCGGCUAACUACGUGCCAGCCGCCGGGGUAGUACAGAGGAUGCGAUCGUUAUCCGGAUGUAUUGGGUGUAAGGCGUGCGUAGGCGGAAUGCCAAGUCAGUGUUAAAUUCGCGGGGCUAAACCUCGCGCCGCCUUUGAUACGAGCGUUCUUGAGUGGGCGAGAGGUAAGCGGAAUGCGUGGUGAAGCGGUGAAAUGCAUAGAUAUCACGCAGAACUCCGAUUGCGAAGGCAGCUUACUGGCGCCCAACUGACGCUGAAGCACGAAAGCGUGGGUAUCGAACAGGAUUAGAUACCCUAGUAGUC